Molecule: non-coding RNA, 4031 nt
Organism: Oryctolagus cuniculus (rabbit)
Lineage: Eukaryota; Metazoa; Chordata; Mammalia; Lagomorpha; Leporidae
Source: RefSeq, a predicted model, not a curated record
GAGGGAGCUGCAGAACUUCCCUUCCUCGCGGACUCUAAGGCCCCCGGGGCCCCAACUCUCCAGAGAUGCUGGCGUGGGGAGAGGGUGCAGAGCCCUUCCAGAAGAGGGCCCAGACGACAGGAGUCCAGUCUCUACCAACCCUGCACCUCCCUGCGACGCCGGAAGUAACGCCAGAUCUCCUGCCCCGGGUUCAGAGGGUGCUGAGAUGAGAGCCCGACAGAAACCGGGGACGCCGGGAGUGAGGGAAGGUUGCCCCUGCCACAGUCUGGGCAGUGGAUGGUCUUGGAGCUCCCAGUGAUGUGGUGAUGAGUCCAUGGCACCCCAGUCUUCCUUUUCUUGGCCUUCCAGACCCAAGCAGGCUACUUCACUCACUCCAGCUGUCAGGCUGGCUGCAGGAAGAGUCUGAGUUUGUGAGAUGUCCUUCAGAAACUGUCUUCUAUUUAAAGAACAACAACAAAAAAAGGCAGAGUGGACAGUGAGAGAGAGAGAGACAAGAGAGAGAGAAAGGUCUUCCUUUUCUGUUGGUUCACCCCGCAAUGGACACUGCGGCUGGCGCACCAUGCUGAUCCGAAGCCAGGAGCCAGGUGCUUUCCCCUGGUCUCCCAUGUGGGUGCAGGGCCCAAGCACUUGGACCAUCCUCCACUGCACUCCCGGGCCACAGCAGAGAGCUGGACUGGAAGAGGAGCAUCCAAGGCAGAAUCCGGCACCCCGACCAAGACUAGAACCCGGGGUGCCAGGGCCACAGGCAGAGGAUUAGUCUAUUGAGCUGCAGUGCCGGCCUCUGGCUUUUUCUAAAGGCAGAAGGUGUGCAGUCCUGAGUCUUGCCCUUUAUUAUCUGUGCCAAGUAAGUUACUUGACUUCCUUCAGCCUCACUAUUUCCAUCAGUAAAAUGGGAUUAACAGUCCCAUUUUAGCUUAUAGGACUGACUUGCAAAUCAUGUGAGACAAAACAGGUGAAAAGACUUUUUGUCACUGACCAUGUUGUGUAAUAGUAGCUACGAUUAUGAUUAAUGCUCUUUCUUGAUGGUUCCAAGCUUUGUCCCCUCCUUUCACUCACACAUUGGCAGCAGCUUUGGAUUCUGCAAGAUCUUCUCAUAAAAAGACUGAGGUCAAUCUGAAUACAUAUUCCAGGAUUCGAAUAAAUCACUAAGGAAAAUGCAAGGAAGCAGGAAGCCUGCCAAUGACUCAGGACAGUCCAUGUUUUAUAAAAAUUUGUUUCAACUGUAAAAGUCAUCCUCUUCAUGGCAUGAAGCCUGAGAAACCAAGAAGAAAAAGACGCCCUGGAGCAGGGGCUAUGUCUCAGUUGCCUGCAUCUACAGAGCCUAACAAGUGUCAGCCCUUCGAGGAGCUCUGUAGAUGUUCACGAGGAGUGCAUUUUUUGGAGACCCACAAGAAUUCAUUGCACAAGAAUCUCCACUGCUGUGCUGCUCCCAGAGAUCAGGGCAUUGCCCACUGGUCAGAAACACUGGGCGCUCUGCAGAAUACUCCAGUGGGUGCAGUGAGGUCAUUGAAAAUUGUCUGUGGAACACCGAUGUACAGCAUCACUCACUGAAAACUGUCAAACACUGAUGUCCAGCAUUACAACACUCAGAAGGCAGAAAUAACAGCUACCAUGCACCAGUAGAAGGAUGGAUGAACAAAAUGGGGUACGUCCACGUAAUGGGAUAUAAUCCAUCCUUUAAGAAGAAGGAAAUUGUGACACACACCUCAACAUGGAUAACCUUAAAGACAUUGUAUUAGAUGAAAUAAUUCAGCCAUAAGAAGACAGAUACAGUAAAUCCCUCUUUAUCCACAGGAAAUAGGGGCCAAGACUCCCAGAGGAUGCCUGAAACCUCAUAUAGUAUGUAAUCCUAUGUAUACUAUGUUUAUUCCUAUACAUACAUAGCAAUGAUAAAGCCUAAUUAAUGUAAGUUACAGGAAGAUAUUGACAGCAAACACCAAUAAUAAAAGAUCAAUUAUAACAAUAUAAUAAGAGUUACUUAAAACAUGAAUUUCUUAUUUCUGGAAUUUUCCCUUUAAUAAUGUGUAAUCAUAGAUAACUGAAACCCAUAAAGACUGCAGAUAAGGAGGGACUACUGUACUGUAUAAUUCCACUUACAUGACAUAACUAGAGUAGAAUUCAUAGAUACAGAAAGUAGAAUGGUGGCACCAAUGGAAGAAGAUGGGAUGAAGAGUUAUUAUGUAAAAGAUAAAGGUGUGGUUUGUGAUGAUGACAAAUUCUAGAGCUGGAUGAUAUGAAUAGUUAGAAAUGUACUCAGGCUGGAAGCACCUGCUAAGAGGAAGAUCUGGGUCUUGGCUUAGGAUAAGCACACAGACAAAGACGUAGGGGCUUCAGUGGGGGGUAUCUGUGGCUGUGGACUUGCUUUUGUCCUGCUUCCCACCUAAGGGCAAAGUGAUUCCUUUAAUAACAAAUGUCUCCUGAGUUUCCUGUGCUGGCACUGGGGGUACAGCAUUGAGCAAGAUACAUACCUUAGAGUCACAUGGGGGAAACUGACGUGAAACCAUCCCAUCGAUAGAGGUUACAAUGUGAUUCAUGUUGAAAAGGUCAGGUGAGGAAAUGACACAGGAGCUGAGAGUAAAAGUGAGUGAGAGUUAAUGAUGCUGUCAGGGUGGAGGUGAGAAGGGAGAGCAUCCAGCGUCCCAGGCAGAGGGAACAGCAGGUCUCCAGGACCUGAACACAAAGGCCAGAGCAGUGAGGCUGAGAGAACAGAAGGAACAAGGUAAUUCUGGGGAGGUGGGCAAGGGACAGACGUCAAAGCCUGGGGCCAUGUGCAAACCUUGGUCCUUCUUCUCAGAGCCAAGACAAAUCAUUAGUGUGGUUUCAUUAGAGAUGUGGGGAUACCAGCGAGAAGAUUACUCCAGGAGUCUGAGUGAGGGAUGAUGGAGAGAUCAGGGAAGUGGAAUGAAGAGACAGGGCAGACUCAACUGGGACUGAAAGCUAAAAGACAGGAUGUUCUCAGAUGGAUUGGGAACGUAGCAUGAUAGACAAGGAGGGCUCAUGAGCAACCCUGAGCUUUCUGCUUUGUGAAGCCAGAGGGGGCUGCCUUUCACCUCAUUGAAUACAAUACCACUGUCAUCACACCACACAACUCCAAGGGGCUCCAUCCAUUUGCCAUCAGUGAGGAUGGUACCCGUGGAAUUGUGGAAAAACAAUAGCCUAUGUAGCACCAGCAGCAGCCCUCGGGCAAGAAGUGUCCCCCUUGCCUGGAGCCCAACUUCUUUCAGUUGGACAUUUUGUUCAUGUUGUACCUGAGGGCUAUGUUCAGUGACCAACAUGCCUGAAGCCCAGUGGAAUCUAAUGUCUUGUGGUGAAUUGUUGAUGUUAAAUUCCCCUGAACAUGUGUCACAAACCCAGACCUUCAGCAGGAUCCUGGGUUAAAGUAAAGUAGGAACACAAAAGCCUUUGUAUGAGCAUGACAUGUGUUAGGGAAAUGUCCCAGGAUUUUUUUGUUCUUUCCCACUCACCACUGUCAUCAAUGCUCAUGUAGCCCAGCACAUAUGGUCUUCCAGUCAUGUGAUCCACUGAUGGGAAAGCCUUGGAUGCAGUUACUGCAGGGCUCCAGUGCCAGGAAGCCAUGUCUCAUUAGAGUCUGCCCAGAGACCCGAGACUGACUCAUCCUUUGUGACUUAAGAGGGCAGGGGCAAGAGAAAUAAAGAUCUCUCCAGGUCUGUGCUAGGAACCCUAAGGCAUCCUAGAUUAUGCUGAGGCUCCUAAAGAAUGACAACUCCGGCCGGCGCCACGGCUCACUUGGCUAAUCCUCUGCCUACGGUGCCAGCACCCCGGCUUCUAGUCCUGGUUAGGGCAUCGGUUCUGUCCCAGUUGCUCCUCUUCCACUCCAGCUCUCUGCUGUGGCCCGGGAAGGCAGUGGAGGAUGGCCCAAGUGCUUGGCCCCUGCACCCACACGGGAGACCAGGAGGAAGCACCUGGCUCCUGGCUUCAGAUCGGCGUGGCUAGCCGGCCACAGUGCGCCGGCGGUAGCAGCCAUUUGGGGGGUGGACCAACAGAAAAGGAAGACCUUUCUCUCUCUCUCU